This 219-nucleotide ribosomal RNA is filed under the name uncultured bacterium. RNAcentral describes it as "partial 16S ribosomal RNA". It matches the Rfam family "Bacterial small subunit ribosomal RNA", at positions 99 to 334 of the family's 1533-position model. The record is from RNAcentral.
CGCACGGGUGAGUAACACGUAAGUUAUCUGCCCUUGGGUCUGGCACAACUCCGGGAAACCGGGGCUAAUUCCAGAUGAUAUCGAAAGAUCAAAGUUCCGACGCCCAAGGAUGAGCUUGCGUCUGAUUAGCUUGUUGGCGGGGUAAAAGCCCACCAAGGCGACGAUCAGUAGCCGGUCUGAGAGGAUGAUCGGCCACAUUGGGACUGAGACACGGCCCAG